CAUCAACGUAUUCUCCUUGCCUGCGGCCACGUCCACAGUGGACGUGAUUAACAAGAGAACGAGCAGAACAGGGUAACGCAACGACGUCAGCCAGCUGCAGUGGUCUUGCGGGGCCUCUUCUCUCAUGAUUUUUUUUCCUUCGGCGUAUCUUCGUCUUCUCCAGCUCUGCUUCCACUCGCUCUAAGGACUCCAUAAGACAUCCACAGAGACAGCCCCCUCCCUCCUCCGGACAUCUGCAAAGACUGCUUGACGCUGCUUCAGCAACUUAACUCCUUUCUCUUCUCUUCGAUCGAAAGAACGAGGUGCCGAUACCGCAAGACACCCAAGCCGAAUUCAUGCAAGACCGCUGGCGGGACAAACGCCUCGUGGAAGACUUCAUUCGAGGCGGACACACGCACGCACGAACACAAGAACCCCCCUCCCCCAAGGUAAAGGGCACCGCCUCCAACCAGCUAGCGUAAGCGAGCGCCUCAGCGCAGUGGACACUGCAGACGUGCUCGCCUCCAGAGACACACGUGCGUGCUGUGGCGUGCCCGCACAGACACACAGAACAGCCUUUUGCGCGGCGGCAGCAGAGGGAAGGUAAGGACCUUGACACGGCGUAUCAUCCGCGAAGCGGAAACCUGUCUUUGGUUUUGUGCUUCCAAUCAUGUUCAGCGCUUCUUCCUCUCCGGCAUUACCAGUUACGCUGGGACACGGCUACGCUGCAGCGAUGCGGCAGACCUCCACAACCAGUGCUGUGGGCCACUCGCUCAGCCGCAUUGUUGCUGUCGGCGCGACUGCGGUGGCCCUUGGCGUGUCUGCAGUCCUGGGCGGCUCUCUUCUUUAUGUGUCUUUGCACCGAGCGGAGAGUGCAGCAUCUGAGGCGGGCACCGGCCCGUCGUGGUGGUCGCGUGUUGCGCGACGUCUGCGGAUCUGCAGCUGUGACAAUGAGGAGGAAGACGACGCCUUCGCCACCGGCAGAGGCGCAGAAAACUUGUUCGACGAAGAGAAGGUCAAGGCACGACAGAAGCUCCCGCGCGGCAAGGCCAAAGGCGCGGCACACAGCCACGCAUCCACUGCCACCAUCACCGCCGGUGCUGGUGCCACCGCUGCCACAGUUUCAGCCGCUUUACGGAAACUUGCGGGCUCAGCGCCACCAGUCUCGGACGCAAAGGAGGCACUCACCAUGCUGGCCAACACCGAGGAGAUUCGGGAACGAGAGCAAUACAUUAAAUUGGUGCGUGCACUUCUGCAGCGUGAGGCGGGCAUCGCGUACGAUGACGACGAUGACAGCUCCACCAGCUCAGACUCCACAGAUGUAUCGUUGAAUUAUCACCUGGCCACCGCGAUGGAAGGGAACGCGCGGGAUGAACUGCUGAUGGCCUUUUCCGCCUACGGCGACUUCAGCGACAGCGCCGUCUACGGCAGCUCGAUCCCGGAUGCCGGAGACGAAAAUGCAGCGGACUUGCAGCUGAGCAUCAUGAUCAAGACCCUCGAGUAUCUGGACAUGUCGAAUGAGCGCGAGAAGCUGCGAAGUCGCCGCAUUGCCAUGUACCGCGAGGCCGGCCACGCCACACCGGUCUCCUCCAUUGAUGCGGCCGGGAGUGAUAGGGAUGGCGGUGAGCUCGACGAAGGCGGAGAUGUAGUGGUGGACCCUAUGCACUUUCAACUCGCCGCUCACUACGCUGCUACCCAUUAUGGACUCACCAGACCCAUGGACGAGCGGGACGACGAUGAGGGGGAUGGGGGAGACUACCCGAGCGCCAUGGAGCGGCAGGCACAGCGCUUCCAGUCGAUGCUGCUGCGCCCAUCGAAGAUGAAUAUGCCGGCGGAAGACCGAAUGAACACCGAUGACUCGGUCCUGGAUCGCAUUCUCGGUGAGGGUCCCGCGGUGCGGGCGAAUCCUGCUAUGCCUGGCACUGCGCGCAACGGGCACGCCGCCCUGCUGGCUGAUCGCGCCGACAUGAUGGAGGAUGGGUGGGAGGCCGAGGACGACGACGAGGAGGCGGAGCUCAUGGCGUACCUGCAGCAGGCGGACAACGCCCAGCACUUCUACUCACGUGAGGAAAUGCGACGCGCCAGGCGCGACCCGGCGAGCGACAUCCGCAUUGUCGGGAUGGAGGACAAUGCUUUCGACGAGGACGACGCGGAGAGUGAGUGGGAGGACGAGGCGGACGACGAGGACGUGGCCGGCACGGAGGAGGAGGACGAUGCCGAGGCGGAUGAAGAGGACGACCUCGCCGCUGCCGUGCCGUGGAGCCGCCGCGACAAGCGGGACUUUGAGAGGGAGCUGUUCUCGCGCAUCCGCCACUUGGCGAAGAGCUUCGCCCUCACGGACGCCAUGGCAGAGCGGGAGGUGUCAGAGGAGGAUGCCCGGAAGCGUGUGGCACGGGAGCAGCGACGUCAGCAGGGCAUUCACUCUAGUGCGAAGGCCGCAGUCGACCCUAACCCUGCCGCCGCGGCGGACGACCUCGCGGAAGGCACUGAGGAGUGGGAAGACGAGGCAGACUGGGAGGACGCAUAACGGCACGAGCUCUGAAGCGUCGCCCCUAAUGCCACAGAGAUUCUACCGCCCAAACGCCCAAUGCUUGCCCCUUUUCCUUUCGCGCUUUUCGCAGACAUUAACCACAACGGAAGGUAUCGCAUUCACAUCAUUCAUAACACACACACACACACACACACACACACACACACACACACACCUCUCCCUCACCGUCG
RNAcentral lists this unclassified non-coding RNA (2700 nucleotides) under Leishmania donovani. RNAcentral's name for it is "gene:LdHU3.29.1150(CDS-product:hypothetical_prote in_conserved)". The record is from RNAcentral. Lineage: Eukaryota; Euglenozoa; Kinetoplastea; Trypanosomatida; Trypanosomatidae.